CAAUAGCGUAUAUUUAAGUUGUUGCAGUUAAAAAGCUCGUAGUUGGAUUUCGGGUGUGAACGACCGGUCCGUCUUUGAUGUGUACUGGUUGGUUGCGCCUUAUUGUCGAGGACGUGGUUCUAGCUUUCAUUAGCCGGGACACGGAGUCGGCAGCGUUACUUUGAGAAAAUUAGAGUGUUCAAAGCAGGCUAUCGCUCUGAAUACUACAGCAUGGAAUAACACGAUAGGACUCCGAGCCUAUUCUGUUGGUCUUCGGGACCGGAGUAAUGAUUAAGAGGGACAGUUGGGGGCAUUCGUAUUCCGAUGUCAGGGGUGAAAUUCUUGGAUUAUCGGAAGACGAGCAUCUGCGAAAGCAUUUGCCAAGGAUGUUUUCAUUAA
RNAcentral lists this ribosomal RNA (378 nucleotides) under uncultured eukaryote. RNAcentral describes it as "partial 18S ribosomal RNA". It matches the Rfam family "Eukaryotic small subunit ribosomal RNA", at positions 592 to 976 of the family's 1831-position model. The record is from RNAcentral.